GACGAACGCUGGCGGCGUGCCUAACACAUGCAAGUCGAACGGAGUAUUUCUUCGGAGAUACUUAGUGGCGGACGGGUGAGUAACGCGUGAGCAACCUGCCUUUCAGAGGGGGACAACAGUUGGAAACGACUGCUAAUACCGCAUAACGUAUCGGAACCGCAUGGCUCUGAUACCAAAGAUUUUAUCGCUGAAAGAUGGGCUCGCGUACGAUUAGAUAGUUGGUGAGGUAACGGCUCACCAAGUCGACGAUCGUUAGCCGGACUGAGAGGUUGAACGGCCACAUUGGGACUGAGACACGGCCCAGACUCCUACGGGAGGCAGCAGUGAGGAAUAUUGGGCAAUGGGCGCAAGCCUGACCCAGCAAUGCCGCGUGAAGGAAGACGGUUUCGGAUUGUAAACUUCUUUUAAGAGGGACGAUAAUGACGGUACCUCUUGAAUAAGCCACGGCUAACUACGUG
This 458-nucleotide ribosomal RNA is filed under the name uncultured bacterium. Its description in RNAcentral is "bacterial SSU rRNA". It matches the Rfam family "Bacterial small subunit ribosomal RNA", at positions 28 to 507 of the family's 1533-position model. The record is from RNAcentral.